CUCCCAAACCCCUGUGAACAUACCAAUUGUUGCCUCGGCGGAUCAGCCCGCUCCCGGUAAAACGGGACGGCCCGCCAGAGGACCCCUAAACUCUGUUUCUAUAUGUAACUUCUGAGUAAAACCAUAAAUAAAUCAAAACUUUCAACAACGGAUCUCUUGGUUCUGGCAUCGAUGAAGAACGCAGCAAAAUGCGAUAAGUAAUGUGAAUUGCAGAAUUCAGUGAAUCAUCGAAUCUUUGAACGCACAUUGCGCCCGCCAGUAUUCUGGCGGGCAUGCCUGUUCGAGCGUCAUUUCAACCCUCAAGCCCAGCUUGGUGUUGGGACUCGCGAGUCAAAUCGCGUUCCCCAAAUUGAUUGGCGGUCACGUCGAGCUUCCAUAGCGUAGUAGUAAAACCCUCGUUACUGGUAAUCGUCGCGGCCACGCCGUUAAACCCCAACUUCUGAAUGUUGACCUCGGAUCAGGUAGGAAUACCCGCUGAACUUAAGCAUAUCAAUAAGCGGAGGAAAAGAAACCAACAGGGAUUGCCCUAGUAACGGCGAGUGAAGCGGCAACAGCUCAAAUUUGAAAUCUGGCUCUCGGGCCCGAGUUGUAAUUUGUAGAGGAUACUUUUGAUGCGGUGCCUUCCGAGUUCCCUGGAACGGGACGCCAUAGAGGGUGAGAGCCCCGUCUGGUUGGAUGCCAAAUCUCUGUAAAGUUCCUUCGACGAGUCGAGUAGUUUGGGAAUGCUGCUCUAAAUGGGAGGUAUAUGUCUUCUAAAGCUAAAUACCGGCCAGAGACCGAUAGCGCACAAGUAGAGUGAUCGAAAGAUGAAAAGCACUUUGAAAAGAGAGUUAAAAAGUACGUGAAAUUGUUGAAAGGGAAGCGUUUAUGACCAGACUUGGGCUUGGUUAAUCAUCUGGGGUUCUCCCCAGUGCACUUUUCCAGUCCAGGCCAGCAUCAGUUUUCCCCGGGGGAUAAAGACUUCGGGAAUGUGGCUCUCUUCGGGGAGUGUUAUAGCCCGUUGUGUAAUACCCUGGGGGGGACUGAG
RNAcentral lists this ribosomal RNA (1027 nucleotides) under Fusarium subglutinans. RNAcentral's name for it is "eukaryotic LSU rRNA". The stretch from base 448 to 1027 matches the Rfam family "Eukaryotic large subunit ribosomal RNA", at positions 1 to 592 of the family's 3401-position model. The record is from RNAcentral. Lineage: Eukaryota; Fungi; Ascomycota; Sordariomycetes; Hypocreales; Nectriaceae.